This is a long non-coding RNA of Vidua macroura (Pin-tailed whydah), 790 nucleotides long. RefSeq lists it as uncharacterized. The record is from RefSeq and is a predicted model, not a curated record. The transcript has 3 exons. NCBI's taxonomy places the organism in Eukaryota, Metazoa, Chordata, Aves, Passeriformes, Viduidae.
CCUCACCGCAGCACCUGUUUUUGUGUUCUGGAGACACUGAGAAAGGCACCUGAUUCUUCCCAGACUGGAGCAAAUUGAGUUCCCUGCAAGAAUUGGCCCAGUCUCUCCAUACAUCCAAGGUUGCCUCAUCCCAGUGUUCAGGCCUGUGACAUCUGGGAUUGAUCCUGUUCUUAGCAAAGUCAAUGGCAAAAUUUCCAUGAGCUCCAUUUCCUGGUCCUAACUUUGCCAUAUCCAAGUGCAAGCACCCAAAAGCCCUUCCUGUGCUGCAUGACUGUGUAGGUGCACCCAAAAAUGUCCAUGUAUGAUGUCCCUCAUGAUCCAUGAGAGUUAACUCGUUAACUUCUUAACUGGCUGGGUUAAGCCAGGCUAGUGUACACAACAUCCCUGGUGAACUCUGCUCAAGAUUAGAGAAAAGCAACAAUCUGAGCUUUGGUCGUGGGGAUGGAUGCACCUCGUAAGUCACAGUUAAACAAAUGGAAGCAAGAAGGAUUUUUCAGACCCAUAGCUUUGGUUUUCCAUACCGCCUAUGCUUGCUUUUUUCCCUGAUAAUAACUUUUGCUGUAGAUUCUAUCUGCUUAAAGUUUGGAUUAUCAUGUCAUUUGUUAACCUGAGGGUACUCAGCCAAUCCUGUAAGUUUGGUUAUUGCUUGAUCUGUUCAAAAGAACACCACUUUUCCUUUACUUGCAAAUAUUAUCAUUGUCAAAUAUUAAAUGAUUUGCUGAACCAUUGUGUAACAACAUGUCUUAACAUGUUUGUCAGUGGAUAUAUUUAGCUGGUAUGGAUAUUGUAU